Molecule: ribosomal RNA, 253 nt
Filed under: uncultured bacterium
Lineage: Bacteria
Description: partial 16S ribosomal RNA
Rfam family: Bacterial small subunit ribosomal RNA
Source: RNAcentral
UACGUAGGGGGCGAGCGUUGUCCGGAUUUAUUGGGCGUAAAGAGCGUGUAGGCGGCCAGGUAGGUCUGCUGUGAAAACUCGAGGCUCAACCUCGAGACGUCGGCGGAAACCAUCUGGCUAGAGUCCGGAAGAGGAGAGUGGAAUUCCUGGUGUAGCGGUGAAAUGCGCAGAUAUCGGGAAGAACACCCGUGGCGAAGGCGGCUCUCUGGGACGGUACUGACGCUGAGGUGCGAAAGCGUGGGGAGCAAACAGG